Molecule: ribosomal RNA, 450 nt
Filed under: uncultured bacterium
Lineage: Bacteria
Description: partial 16S ribosomal RNA
Rfam family: Bacterial small subunit ribosomal RNA
Source: RNAcentral
GUGGGGAAUUUUGGACAAUGGGCGCAAGCCUGAUCCAGCAAUGCCGCGUGCAGGAAGAAGGCCUUCGGGUUGUAAACUGCUUUUGUACGGAACGAAACGGUUCUCUCUAAUACAGGGAGCUAAUGACGGUACCGUAAGAAUAAGCACCGGCUAACUACGUGCCAGCAGCCGCGGUAAUACGUAGGGUGCAAGCGUUAAUCGGAAUUACUGGGCGUAAAGCGUGCGCAGGCGGUUUUGUAAGACAGAGGUGAAAUCCCCGGGCUCAACCUGGGAGCUGCCUUUGUGACUGCAAGGCUGGAGUGCGGCAGAGGGGGAUGGAAUUCCGCGUGUAGCAGUGAAAUGCGUAGAUAUGCGGAGGAACACCGAUGGCGAAGGCAAUCCCCUGGGCCUGCACUGACGCUCAUGCACGAAAGCGUGGGGAGCAAACAGGAUUAGAUACCCCUGUAGUCC